Molecule: long non-coding RNA, 311 nt
Filed under: Homo sapiens (human)
Lineage: Eukaryota; Metazoa; Chordata; Mammalia; Primates; Hominidae
Description: non-protein coding lnc-PFKP-16:12
Source: RNAcentral
CUUUGAGCAAGAGGACAAACCUGGGUAGGGAUCUCUAUGAUGUUUUCUGCGUUGCCCGUGGACGUUCAUCUUUCUGAUUUGUUAGCUGAAGAUGAGGAUCUGGAGCAGGAGCUCGGAGUGCCAUUGUUCCAUGGGCAGAUGUGCAGCAGAGAUUGUUGAGCUUGCCUGGCCCAAGGCACAGAGUUCUGGGAAGGAUGGAAGAGAGGGGAAGGGAGAGCACCAACAUCACGGACCGCCUUUCACAUCAGCGGCAGCAGCAGUAAAACCCCCAGAAAACCUGGGGUAGGCGUGGGGGUCUGUUUAGAUCAGCC